AUGCAGGUAUUGUUUAAUAAGGACUUUGGAGAAGGUUUCAGUAUGAAGUCUCCUGGUCAGGAAGAAAGAAGAAUGUUUUUGGAGGACUUAAUCACGAGUGGAGCUGCUGCUGAACCUCACUUGCAACCAGCAAGCAGGCUGGGCAGACAUGGGAAGCACUGGCUGCAGCAGCAGCAGCUGAGCUCUGUGUGCCAGAGGAAGGAACGCGGCGUCUGGAGGAGCAGGAGGAGGAGAGCCUGCGUGACUCUGCGUGUUCUGCAGGGCCGUUCCUCACAGACUGCCACUGACAGACGUUGGGGCACUGCAGAGCCUGUUGGUGCGGAGGAGGUCCUGAUGAUGGCACAGGCAUUAAACAGCCCAGAACUCGUCGCUGGGGAGAGGCUGCGCAUUGCACCGUGAAGGGAGAGAUGCAGGAGGGGUUUGAACAGCGUUGUGCAGGAAUGGAUAACUGGCUGCGGCCCUUCAAAGUGCACUGUGGAUGGGCGGCGCGAUGACAGCCCAAGGAUGGCAGCAGGAGAUGCAGCACAGCCCUCUCCAGCAGCAAGGUGCAUUGGUUUGUCUUGCUUAUUCUUGAAGUAGAAGGUGUGUUUAGCUUCCACAGUCAGUGGCUUGAUAGCAUGUUUAGAAGGCUUUGGGGCCCU
RNAcentral lists this long non-coding RNA (641 nucleotides) under Phasianus colchicus (ring-necked pheasant). RNAcentral's name for it is "lncRNA (ENSPCLG00000014444.1)". The record is from RNAcentral. Lineage: Eukaryota; Metazoa; Chordata; Aves; Galliformes; Phasianidae.